GAUUAGGAAAGUGAAGAUGAUAGUUCUCGAAUGAUGUCAGAUUAAUGUUGAGGAUUGGAUGAAUUUGCAUGGAACCAUUUAUAAAAUGUGUACGCAGAAGCCUGAUUGAUUAUUCACAAGAGCUUUAUAACAAAUAUAAGGAGUGUUUUAUUGAAUACAAUGAAUCCGAUCCCGUCAUUGAUGCUGGUGAACUUGAUCGUAAGCUAGAUGAUAUGUUUGACUUUACUAUUCAGGAAAAAAAAUCGGAAGACAUUGAAGAAGACAAAAUAUGAAGAAAUUGAUAUUAACAAAGUAACCACCAUUACUUUUGAGCAAGGAUGGGCAAUUUUGCGGAAAGGGAUUAGGAAAGUGAAUAUGAUAGUUCUCGAAGGAUGUCAGAUUAAUGUUGAGGAUUGGAUGAAUUUGCAUGGAACCAUUUAUAAAAUGUGUACGCAGAAGCCUGAUUGAUCAUUCACAAGAGCUUUAUAACAAAUAUAAGGAG
Long non-coding RNA from Trifolium pratense (red clover), 481 nucleotides. RefSeq lists it as uncharacterized. The record is from RefSeq and is a predicted model, not a curated record. Lineage: Eukaryota; Viridiplantae; Streptophyta; Magnoliopsida; Fabales; Fabaceae. The transcript has 3 exons.